Molecule: ribosomal RNA, 248 nt
Filed under: uncultured bacterium
Lineage: Bacteria
Description: partial 16S ribosomal RNA
Rfam family: Bacterial small subunit ribosomal RNA
Source: RNAcentral
CUCAGGACGAACGCUGGCGGCGUGCUUAACACAUGCAAGUCGAGCGGUAAGGCCCUUUCGGGGGUACGACGAGCGGCGAACGGGUGAGUAACACGUGGGUGACCUCGCCCUCAGCUCUGGGAUAAGCCUGGGAAACCGGGGUCUAAUACCGGAUAUGACUCCAUGACGCAUGUUGUGGGGUGGAAAGCCUUGUGCGGCUGAGGAUGGGCCCGCGGCCUAUCAGCUUGUUGGUGGGGGGAUGGCCUACC